RNAcentral lists this ribosomal RNA (342 nucleotides) under Triticum aestivum (bread wheat). RNAcentral's name for it is "partial small subunit ribosomal RNA". Lineage: Eukaryota; Viridiplantae; Streptophyta; Magnoliopsida; Poales; Poaceae. The record is from RNAcentral.
AUGAAGUUCAUCGCUGCCUAUCUGCUUGCUUACCUCUCUGGCAACGCCAGCCCCUCUGCAGAGGACCUGACAUCCAUUCUUGAGUCAGUUGGUUGUGAAAUCGACAAUGAGAAGAUGGAACUCAUGCUGUCCCAAGUGAAGGGCAAGGACAUCACUGAGCUCUUGGCUGCUGGUAGGGAGAAGUUUGCUGCGGUUCCAUCUGGUGGUGGUGGUGUGGCUGUUUCAGCCGCUGCUCCUGCUGCUGGUGGUGCUGCUGCCCCUGCAGCUGAGUCGAAGAAAGAAGAGAAGGUCGUGGAGAAGGAAGAGAGUGAUGAUGACAUGGGCUUCAGUCUGUUCGACUAA